UACGAAGGGUGCAAACGUUGCUCGGAAUUAUUGGGCGUAAAGCGCACGCAGGCGGUCUGUCAAGUCGGAUGUGAAAUCCCCGGGCUCAACCUGGGAACUGCAUUCGAAACUGGCAGGCUAGAGUCUUGUAGAGGGGGGUAGAAUUCCAGGUGUAGCGGUGAAAUGCGUAGAGAUCUGGAGGAAUACCGGUGGCGAAGGCGGCCCCCUGGACAAAGACUGACGCUCAGGUGCGAAAGCGUGGGGAGCAAACAGG
RNAcentral lists this ribosomal RNA (253 nucleotides) under uncultured bacterium. Its description in RNAcentral is "partial 16S ribosomal RNA". It matches the Rfam family "Bacterial small subunit ribosomal RNA", at positions 524 to 776 of the family's 1533-position model. The record is from RNAcentral.